GUAAAACUGUACGUGUUUCCGGUCUGCAAGACCGUGGUUUUCGCGAUCCUUCUACGUCGAUCGUUGGAUUUGUACAAAAAAAGCGCUUAGGCGCUUUUUUUUAUUGUACGGGCUGGUUCAGCAAAUUCUUUCGUGACAAGCGGAGUCACACUGGGGUUUCCCGUGGCGGUUUCCCGCCACCGUUAUUCGUCCUACGAGUCCGGACGGUUUUUUUGAGCUCGGGAGUCCGCUAAGGCCCGCCUUUUAAAAGGUAGUUAAACGGAGGGAGGUGAAGUCGUUAGUCAUCGAACGAAGACCUCCGACGGCCGCCAAUUACCGUCGUUUACGUCCACCUCACGCUACAACCCCCCCGGUGGACAGAGUACCGAGAGCACGGUCCGCGUGCGUUGUCAAGGGUCGCGCGUAGGACCGGACCCUAUCCGAAGGCGAAGGGUUUCAUUUCAUCGCGCGCGGUAGAGCCCACCGAGGGUGAAGCCGUGCGAAGGGUACGUUGGCCCCGGUCCCUAGGAGAA
Molecule: long non-coding RNA, 512 nt
Organism: Aedes albopictus (Asian tiger mosquito)
Lineage: Eukaryota; Metazoa; Arthropoda; Insecta; Diptera; Culicidae
Exons: 2
Source: RefSeq, a predicted model, not a curated record